RNAcentral lists this ribosomal RNA (253 nucleotides) under uncultured bacterium. RNAcentral's name for it is "partial 16S ribosomal RNA". It matches the Rfam family "Bacterial small subunit ribosomal RNA", at positions 524 to 776 of the family's 1533-position model. The record is from RNAcentral.
UACGGGGGGAGCAAGCGUUGUUCGGAUUUACUGGGCGUAAAGGGCGCGUAGGCGGCGUGACUAGUCACUUGUGAAAUCUCCGGGCUUAACUCGGAACGGUCAAGUGAUACUGUCGUGCUAGAGUACAGAAGGGGCAACUGGAAUUCUCGGUGUAGCGGUGAAAUGCGUAGAUAUCAGGAAGAACACCGAUGGCGAAGGCAGCCCCCUGGGCUAACACUGACGCUCAUGCACGAAAGCGUGGGGAGCAAACAGG